AAAGAAACCAACAGGGAUUGCCCUAGUAACGGCGAGUGAAGCGGCAACAGCUCAAAUUUGAAAUCUGGCCCUCGGGUCCGAGUUGUAAUUUGUAGAGGAUGCUUUUGGUGAGGUACCUUCCGAGUUCCCUGGAACGGGACGCCAUAGAGGGUGAGAGCCCCGUCUGGUUGGAUACCGAGCCUCUGUAAAGCUCCUUCGACGAGUCGAGUAGUUUGGGAAUGCUGCUCUAAAUGGGAGGUAUAUGUCUUCUAAAGCUAAAUACCGGCCAGAGACCGAUAGCGCACAAGUAGAGUGAUCGAAAGAUGAAAAGCACUUUGAAAAGAGAGUUAAAAAGUACGUGAAAUUGUUGAAAGGGAAGCGCUUAUGACCAGACUUGGGCUUGGUUGAUCAUCCUGGGUUCUCCCUGGUGCACUCUUCCAGUUCAGGCCAGCAUCAGUUCGCUGCGGGGGAUAAAAGUUUUGGGAAUGUGGCUCCCUCGGGAGUGUUAUAGCCCAUUGCAUAAUACCCUGCUCCGGACUGAGGUUCGCGCAUCUGCAAGGAUGCUGGCGUAAUGGUCAUCAGCGACCCGUCUUGAAACACGGACCAAGGAGUCGUCUUCGUAUGCGAGUGUUCGGGUGUUAAACCCCUACGCGUAAUGAAAGUGAACGCAGGUGAGAGCUUCGGCGCAUCAUCGACCGAUCCUGAUGUUCUCGGAUGGAUUUGAGUAAGAGCAUACGGGGCCGGACCCGAAAGAAGGUGAACUAUGCCUGUAUAGGGUGAAGCCAGAGGAAACUCUGGUGGAGGCUCGCAGCGGUUCUGACGUGCAAAUCGAUCGUCAAAUAUGGGCAUGGGGGCGAAAGACUAAUCGAACCUUCUAGUAGCUGGUU
Molecule: ribosomal RNA, 866 nt
Filed under: Calonectria multiphialidica
Lineage: Eukaryota; Fungi; Ascomycota; Sordariomycetes; Hypocreales; Nectriaceae
Also listed under: 1 other name
Description: partial large subunit ribosomal RNA
Rfam family: Eukaryotic large subunit ribosomal RNA
Source: RNAcentral